Cajanus cajan (pigeon pea) is the source of this 83-nucleotide non-coding RNA. NCBI's taxonomy places the organism in Eukaryota, Viridiplantae, Streptophyta, Magnoliopsida, Fabales, Fabaceae. The record is from Rfam.
GUCUCUGAGGAUGAUGAAAAAGUAACUUUCGUUCUUCCGAGUUUUCCAUGCGGAAAAUAUAUGGAGACCUGAACUGAGGAGAC